UACGAAGGGGGCUAGCGUUGCUCGGAAUCACUGGGCGUAAAGCGCACGUAGGCGGCUUCUUAAGUCGGUGGUGAAAUCCUGGAGCUCAACUCCAGAACUGCCUUCGAUACUGGGAAGCUCGAGUCCGGGAGAGGUGAGUGGAACUGCGAGUGUAGAGGUGAAAUGCGCAGAUAUCGGGAAGAACACCCGUGGCGAAGGCGGCUCUCUGGGACGGUACUGACGCUGAGACGCGAAAGCGUGGGGAGCGAACAGG
RNAcentral lists this ribosomal RNA (253 nucleotides) under uncultured bacterium. RNAcentral describes it as "partial 16S ribosomal RNA". It matches the Rfam family "Bacterial small subunit ribosomal RNA", at positions 524 to 776 of the family's 1533-position model. The record is from RNAcentral.